RNAcentral lists this long non-coding RNA (814 nucleotides) under Mus musculus (house mouse). Its description in RNAcentral is "long non-coding RNA chr8:70291894-70292708". The record is from RNAcentral. Lineage: Eukaryota; Metazoa; Chordata; Mammalia; Rodentia; Muridae.
GUAUUCCCAGGGAGAGAAUCUACAGGAAGCCUGUUCUAUGCAUUUAUAUGUCACCCAGGUACCACCUAUCAUGGGUUUUUGUGUAUAGUGUAUGUGCAUACAUACAUCCCAUGUGGGUACAGAUGCGCAUGCAUGUGUAUGGAAGCUGGAGCUGCUGUCUUCCUCAGUUUCUUUGCACACCAUCCUUUGAGACUAUCUUACUACCAGAAUGGCUGGGUGCUGAGUCAAUCAACAGUGGGACCCUGCUCUCCCACCCUGAGGUUACAGCUGCUGGCAGUGGCUGUGGGCAUUAGAUUAUGUGUGGGUGAAAGGCAACUGAAAUUCAGGGCCCUCAGGUAACCAUCUCUUUAGUUCCACUGCCCACUUCAUUAAAAGUGCUUGGCUCCAGAGCAUGCUAUUAAGCAUUCUUCCCUCCUUCUAUCAUGUGGGUACUGGGGAUUAAACCUUCAUCUUGGGGUUUUUGUUUUUCAUACUGACUGUGUCUCUAGCAGCAGCUUCCCGAGUGCUGGGUUAAAGGCCUGUGAGACAUGCAGUGCAUGUAGCUUUAAGAUUUAGUUACAUGUGUGGUAUUGUACACCAGUGCUUGGAAGUGAACUCAGGUCUUCUGGAGAAGUUCAUACUCUUACCCACUGACCCAUCUCUACAGUCCAUCUUGUUUUUAGAAACAGGGUCUCUAGCCAGGCAGUGGCAGUGCAUGCCCUUAAUCCCUGCACUUAGGUGGCAGAGGCAGGAUUUCUGAGUUUGAAGCCAGCCUGGUCUACAGAGUGAGUUCCAGGGCUACACAAAGAAACCCUAUCUCCAAAAAAAAAAAAUC